ACUCCUACGGGAGGCAGCAGUAGGGAAUCUUCGGCAAUGGACGAAAGUCUGACCGAGCAACGCCGCGUGAGUGAAGAAGGUUUUCGGAUCGUAAAGCUCUGUUGUAAGAGAAGAACGAGUGUGAGAGUGGAAAGUUCACACUGUGACGGUAUCUUACCAGAAAGGGACGGCUAACUACGUGCCAGCAGCCGCGGUAAU
This 198-nucleotide ribosomal RNA is filed under the name uncultured bacterium. RNAcentral describes it as "partial 16S ribosomal RNA". It matches the Rfam family "Bacterial small subunit ribosomal RNA", at positions 335 to 524 of the family's 1533-position model. The record is from RNAcentral.